GAUGAACGCUGGCGGCGUGCCUAAUACAUGCAAGUCGAGCGAACAGACGAGGAGCUUUCUCCUCUGACGUUAGCGGCGGACGGGUGAGUAACACGUGGAUAACCUACCUAUUAGACUGGGAUAACUUCGGGAAACCGGAUCUAAUACCGGAUAAUAUAUUGAACCGCAUGGUUCAAUAGUGAAAGACGGUUUUGCUGUCACUUAUAGAUGGAUCCGCGCCGCAUUAGCUAGUUGGUAAGGUAACGGCUUACCAAGGCAACGAUGCGUAGCCGACCUGAGAGGGUGAUCGGCCACACUGGAACUGAGACACGGUCCAGACUCCUACGGGAGGCAGCAGUAGGGAAUAUUCCGCAAUGGGCGAAAGCCUGACGCAGCAACACCGCGUGAGUGAUGAAGGUCUUCGGAUCGUAAAACUCUGUUAUUAGGGAAGAACAAAUGUGUAAGUAACUAUGCACGUCUUGACGGUACCUAAUCAGAAAGCAACGGCUAACUACGUG
This 497-nucleotide ribosomal RNA is filed under the name uncultured bacterium. RNAcentral describes it as "partial 16S ribosomal RNA". It matches the Rfam family "Bacterial small subunit ribosomal RNA", at positions 28 to 507 of the family's 1533-position model. The record is from RNAcentral.